This 765-nucleotide ribosomal RNA is filed under the name uncultured Streptococcus sp. Its description in RNAcentral is "bacterial SSU rRNA". It matches the Rfam family "Bacterial small subunit ribosomal RNA", at positions 28 to 776 of the family's 1533-position model. The record is from RNAcentral. Lineage: Bacteria; Bacillati; Bacillota; Bacilli; Lactobacillales; Streptococcaceae.
GACGAACGCUGGCGGCGUGCCUAAUACAUGCAAGUAGAACGCUGAAGGAGGAGCUUGCUUCUCUGGAUGAGUUGCGAACGGGUGAGUAACGCGUAGGUAACCUGCCUGGUAGCGGGGGAUAACUAUUGGAAACGAUAGCUAAUACCGCAUAAGAGUAGAUGUUGCAUGACAUUUGCUUAAAAGGUGCAAUUGCAUCACUACCAGAUGGACCUGCGUUGUAUUAGCUAGUUGGUGGGGUAACGGCUCACCAAGGCGACGAUACAUAGCCGACCUGAGAGGGUGAUCGGCCACACUGGGACUGAGACACGGCCCAGACUCCUACGGGAGGCAGCAGUAGGGAAUCUUCGGCAAUGGACGGAAGUCUGACCGAGCAACGCCGCGUGAGUGAAGAAGGUUUUCGGAUCGUAAAGCUCUGUUGUAAGAGAAGAACGAGUGUGAGAGUGGAAAGUUCACACUGUGACGGUAUCUUACCAGAAAGGGACGGCUAACUACGUGCCAGCAGCCGCGGUAAUACGUAGGUGGCAAGCGUUAUCUGGAUUUAUUGGGCGUAAAGAGAGUGCAGGCGGUUUUCUAAGUCUGAUGUGAAAGCCUUCGGCUUAACCGGAGAAGUGCAUCGGAAACUGGAUAACUUGAGUGCAGAAGAGGGUAGUGGAACUCCAUGUGUAGCGGUGGAAUGCGUAGAUAUAUGGAAGAACACCAGUGGCGAAGGCGGCUACCUGGUCUGCAACUGACGCUGAGACUCGAAAGCAUGGGGUAGCGAACAGG